RNAcentral lists this long non-coding RNA (2209 nucleotides) under Ursus maritimus (polar bear). Its description in RNAcentral is "lncRNA (ENSUMAG00000013178.1)". Lineage: Eukaryota; Metazoa; Chordata; Mammalia; Carnivora; Ursidae. The record is from RNAcentral.
CGGCUGUGAACGGUCUUUCCCGUGACUGCGAUACACUGUCCAUAACCGAAGACACCGCACAGACACGUUCCACACCCUGGGGAAACCCGAUAAAGGUGCGUGGCCUGUGUCAAUGUCAGCAUCCUGCCUGCGAUGUUACAAACUGUCGUCACUGGAGGAAAAUGGGCAAAGACACACAGAACCUCUCUGUGUUAUUUCCUAAAACUGCAUGUGAGCCUAUAAUUAUCUCAAUAAAAAUUUCAAUUAAGAACAAAGCUAAACACACACCUGCCGUAAAAUCUGGCUGUUCCACCCUCUCGGUAUGUGUGCACCCAAGAAAAACGCAGAACCAUGUCUUUACGAUGCGUCUCGGGUCGGUGUUCAGAGCAGGAUCCUUUGUCAUCUUCCCCAACUGGAAACACCCCGGGUGCUCCUCCACGGGGAAUGGGGAACCGUGGGCAUCCGUGGGCUGGGGUACUAUUCGGCCACACGAUAGGAGGGAAGUCCUACCGGGGGCACCAUGGAAAGCGUUCAUGCCAGACUGCAGAAGCUGGAGGAAACAAGGCGUGGAUUCUGCUCACAAAACUCUAGGAAGCGCUAAGUGGUCGACAGCAAUGAAAGCAGGUCCAGCUGACCAAACUGCGCACUUCCAACGUGUCCAGUGCAUCGUGCCUAAUACAGCCGGGGAUCAAAGGAACACUGAAUGUGCACACGAAUGAGUGGAGGACAGCUCAGGCAUGGGAGCAUGCGUGUUCAAAUGGACAGGCAACGAAGAAGCAGAGGCGCCGUAGACCCUCAGGAGACCCCGGAAUGUGCACACUUGCGGCCGUGCCCAGGCCUGAGUCACCACGUCCCCAUCCCCGUUCUGUGUCGGGGAAAGGCAACUGCUUGGUGCUGCAGGGCAGGCCAGUCUCACUCCACUGAGGAUGACCCUGGAGAGACCGUCGCCAGCGAGAAUCAGGCUCCCACCCACAUCCAGGCUGGAGGCUGCUACUCAGCGAGAAGGGAGGAGGCCCACCGCGGCGCCAGCAGAGUGCACGCCCUGCUCUGUGCAGUCUCUCCCUGCGUUCGCCCAAAUCUUCAGGAAACCUACAAAAAUCAUGACAUAAUCAGCGGGGAGAUUGUUUGUGGAAAACAGCGGGGGGGAGUCAGUUUCAGCAUUAGGAUCAGCUUGGAGCAGAGACUGUCCUGUGGGAAUGAAGGGCACAGACAACAAGCAGGUGUGGAAGCAUUCUGUACAUUGUGAAGAGCUGUCCACUUGGUGGUCAUUCAUAACAGGGGCACUUGGGCCCUAGACACAGUCUUGGAGAGGGAGUGACGGGGCCACAAGCCUGAGUUAAUGGUUGAGGACCACAGGCAGCCCCCACAGAAGCCAAGACAGAGGAGACAACCAACAGAUGCUUGUGGCGUGAGGGGGAGAAGAAGAGGACCCCAAGCUCACGCGUGCCCACAAGCACACACACACGUGCGCACACACACACUCUUCAGCAGCUCUUGGAAUGGUAGAGGCAUGGGGGUUUCAGAGCCUGCAGCCCCUGGUGCCUGUAGGCCUGGGGUGGGAGGCCUGGUGCUUUCUCAGGGUAGGGCCCCUGGCUCGCAGGGGUGGCCCUAACCCACAGGACAGCUGCAGGCAGUCAGCUCCUGGCUCCCUGCCAGGGUUUGGAGGGGCUGAGUUUGGCCAUGGGUUGGGCCCAGAGGUUCUUUGCUGGCUAUAGGGUUGAGGGCUCUGGCCCUGUGGCUGAGCUGGUCACUUUGGGAACUGCAGCAGUUGUCCAGGGGAGGGGGGCAGUCAGGUCCUGCAGAGGUGGUGGACCCACAGGGCCUCGCAGCUGCUGGGAGCACAGAUGCCUCUGGGGCUCCUGGGAUGCUUCUGGCCUGGCUGUGCACACCCAGGGGUGCAGACAUGCAUCUGUGUUGGAGAAGGCAAGCAGGGCCCAGAGGCGCGAACUGGGUGCCCAAGCAGACCCAGGGAAGGGGCCGUGGGUGGGAAGGGGCCUGUGAUGCAGGCCCCACCAGCUCUGGAGGUACCCCCAGUGCUUAAAACAGUAACAACCAAGCUACCUGAGUCCCAGACUAACAGAGCUGCUCUCAUUUGUAUCGACCUCCGUCCGGCCCUUGUCCACAGAGAUGCAUUUUUCCCUCACUGCAAAUGUAAUAUGUAUGUCAUUUUGCGUAUGGGGGGGGGGGUUGUCCACUUAACAGUACAUAAUAAACAUUUCUCAUGUUUCCA